Molecule: long non-coding RNA, 975 nt
Organism: Lotus japonicus
Lineage: Eukaryota; Viridiplantae; Streptophyta; Magnoliopsida; Fabales; Fabaceae
Exons: 2
Source: RefSeq, a predicted model, not a curated record
GAAUACACAAAUCAUUACUAAAAAAAAAUAGAAACUUGGUCUGAUAAAAGAAAACAGAAGCGUGUUUGGUUUGAGGAUUGUGAGUGGUGUUUGUGGCUUUGUUAAGUGCAGCGGAAGUAAAACAGCAAACAGAACAGAACGAUCAGCACACAGAAAUUUAUACUGGUUCACCCUAAACAAUUGGGCUACGUCCAGUACUUGGCCACCACCAAUAUUUUCACUAGCAAGUAUCAAGGACUUCUCCAAUACAAGUAUUAUCCAUGACUUCUCCAAGUAUUAUCACGGACUUCUCCGAGUAUUCUGCAGGACUCCUCCUAUAAGUAUUGUACAGGACUUCUCCUAAAUCUUUACAAAGAUUUAUGAUACUCUACAAUGGUUCUCUUCUUUCAAGAGUGAGGAUAGAGACUUUAUGGCACUGGAACUCUAAGUGUUUGGGUUCAGAUUUGACUAUUGAAUUCACUUCAGAGUUACUACAAUAGUGUGAAAAGAAUAAAAGAUGUGACUCUUUUAAGGUACGAGGUUUUCUCUUCCACUGGGCAGAAUUUAUGACUUGUGUUUGACACUUGGGAAUAUCUGCUCAAGCUUUGAAUGUUAUUGAGAAGUUUGAAUAUGAAUGCUUGAAUGCUUGGAUUCUCAGAGUUAAUUAUUCUAGUCUUCAGAUCUUCAAGGAUCCCUUAAAUACUUUCUUUCUAGUGUUGUAGCCGUUGUGAGACACAAUCCAACCGUUGAGAUAGUCGUUGAGUUUUGAUAUCAGACUGUUGAUUCAAUUGGCUUGGUUGGUAGCUUCAUUAAAUGUUGCUUCUGAAGCAAGUCUAUCCUUUAGCUUGAAAGGUGAUGUUUGUCAGCUAGUAGGUGGUGAUCGACUUUGGGUUACUUUUCAGAUAAGAGACAAUUUGGCAAUUUGAUGUUGACGGCUUGUACUUUUCCUCGUUGGUCAGCGUGCCUUUUGCUAAAGCAAGUUUUGUCUUCAUCUGA